CGCACAUUGCGCCCUUUGGUAUUCCGAGGGGCAUGCCUGUUCGAGCGUCAUUUAAACCAUCAAGCUCUGCUUGGCCUUGGAUCUGGGCCACACGGUGCCCAGUCCAAAACCCAUAGUGGCGUUCCCGUCGAGCCUUAAGCGUAGCACGAAUUGCUCCCUCGCUUCAAAGGUCUCGGGUGGGACCAGCCCCAAAAGUUAGCAUAAAGUUUGACCUCGGAUCAGGUAGGGAUACCCGCUGAACUUAA
This 245-nucleotide unclassified non-coding RNA is filed under the name Dothideomycetes sp. RNAcentral describes it as "partial contains 5.8S ribosomal RNA, internal transcribed spacer 2, and large subunit ribosomal RNA". Lineage: Eukaryota; Fungi; Ascomycota; Dothideomycetes. The record is from RNAcentral.